AACGAACGCUGGCGGCAUGCCUAACACAUGCAAGUCGAACGAGACCUUCGGGUCUAGUGGCGCACGGGUGCGUAACGCGUGGGAACCUGCCCUUAGGUUCGGAAUAACUCCCCGAAAGGGGUGCUAAUACCGGAUAAUGUCUUCGGACCAAAGAUUUAUCGCCUUUGGAUGGGCCCGCGUUGGAUUAGCUAGUUGGUAGGGUAAAAGCCUACCAAGGCGACGAUCCAUAGCUGGUCUGAGAGGAUGAUCAGCCACACUGGGACUGAGACACGGCCCAGACUCGUACGGGAGGCAGCAGGGGGGAAUAUUGGACAACGGGCGAAAGCCUGAUCCAGCAAGGGCGCGGGAGUGAUGAAGGCCUUAGGGUUGUAAAGCUCUUUUACCCGGGAUGAUAAUGACAGUACCGGGAGAAUAAGCGCCGGCUAACUCCGUG
Molecule: ribosomal RNA, 433 nt
Filed under: uncultured bacterium
Lineage: Bacteria
Description: partial 16S ribosomal RNA
Rfam family: Bacterial small subunit ribosomal RNA
Source: RNAcentral